RNAcentral lists this long non-coding RNA (1578 nucleotides) under Nicotiana benthamiana. Its description in RNAcentral is "long non-coding RNA (NBEN_LNC041540)". The record is from RNAcentral. Lineage: Eukaryota; Viridiplantae; Streptophyta; Magnoliopsida; Solanales; Solanaceae.
GAUUUCAUAAAUAAAUACCUCUACCUCCAAACCCCACUCCACCAACCAGUGAUGAAUUCAACCCGGGUCGUGUAACAACAUCAGGAAAACUUUAAUCCUACCUUCUUCCCCAAACCCCAUUCCACCAACCAGUGAUGAAUUCAACCACGGGUCGUGCAAUAACAGUAACAAUAACAACAAUAACAAAUUUAGUAUAAUUUGAUAUUCAAGUCUGCAAAAGAUAGUAUUUAUACAGUUUUAUUCCUAUUUUAUUAGUAUAAAAAGACUAUUUUUGAUAGAUUUUGAGCACUAUUAAAAAAAAACAGUAAGUGGAAAUACCAUGAAAACCAUGGGUCAUGUGCUAUAACCCCAAUCCCAUUCACUAAAAAAUUUCAAAGUUUAUAAAGAUCAAAACACUCAAAAACUUUGUCUCAGAUUCUCUAGACCAUUAUCUACAAAUUUGCUAACACCAUUAUUUCUUAUCACUAUCUCUAAAAAUGAAAGGAAUCGAUAUAUUCUGUGCAUCCCAAGCUGCAACUUCCAUAUGUCUAAGCAUGCAUGAAGCCUCAUCUUCUUCUUCUUCUUCCGUAAUCCAGUUAGGUGGCGGCAGCAUUUCUGUCAGCCGCCUAAUCGACCGUUACAAUCCCAUCAUCAGAGAUUCCAGAAUAACAUGUGGCAGUGGCUUGUCACGGCCACUGCCACCUCAUUCUUCUGAUCAACCACCCAUUUCUUCAAAACCAAAGAAUAUUGACAAGAAAUGUAAUACAUCUUCAAAACCAUCAAAAGAAACCAAGAAAAGGCAAAGUGAUCAUAAAGGUCAUAUUGUUAAGAGAAAAAGUAGUUGGAGUUGUACAAAACCUAGUGAAUUUAUCACCCCACCUAGUUCUUCUAGGUAUCUUUUGAGUGAGAAAGAUUUGGUUGAUGAUUUAUCUGAUUAUAAUCAGGAUCCAGUUUUGAAUUCCAAGUCUUGUCAUCAAUCUGUGAAAGUAGUGGCAAAUGAGUCUUCUCCUCCAAAGCCACCAUCUUCUUCUUCAUGCUCUGGGGACCAGGUUUAAUUAUUCUCCCUAUUCUUCUUCUUCUUUCAUAAACAGAUUUUGUAAUCUUUACACUAUCAAAUUAAAUGAAAGAUAGGUACAUGUAUUCAUCCAUAAUUAAAUAUUAUUGGAGUCUCCAAUGUGACCAACCCGUAAUUGUUCAAGAUUAGGGUGAUUUGGUAGAGGAAUAAAUUAUCCCAGGAGUAUAAUAAAGGGAUUAUAAUAUGAGAAUUAAAAAGUAACGUAAUUAUUUAAUGAAUUUGACAGAUAUUUGUCUCAUUAGACUAAAAAUAAGAUAUAUAAGAAAUAAUAUAAAAUAUGUGUUUGAUGUAUACUAGAUAAACUGAGAUAAAUUUUUAUUUUUAAUUUUAACCUUAAAUUUUUUUAAAGAACAUUGAGAAAGAACCUUGAAAAACUGUACUAUAGUAUUUUAUCUCGAAUUAAGUAUUACGGAAAUACUAUCCAACCCUUAAUGCGGGAUAUAAUAAUACCACAAUUGUAGUAUUGUUAUGAAAUAAAGUAAAGACAAGAACAAUAAUGCAAGAACAAUAGCAAUAGAGAGAAG